GCACAGAGUAGAAGCGGCUAGCGACCGGCACGGCCUUCGAGGCAGCCGGCACCGUGGGGCAUUGCUCUUGGG
Molecule: regulatory RNA element, 72 nt
Organism: Paraburkholderia tropica
Lineage: Bacteria; Pseudomonadati; Pseudomonadota; Betaproteobacteria; Burkholderiales; Burkholderiaceae
Rfam family: Xanthine riboswitch aptamer (NMT1 RNA)
About the family: Later it was reported as a ncRNA that recognised Xanthine.
Source: Rfam